Molecule: long non-coding RNA, 404 nt
Organism: Acyrthosiphon pisum (pea aphid)
Lineage: Eukaryota; Metazoa; Arthropoda; Insecta; Hemiptera; Aphididae
Exons: 4
Source: RefSeq, a predicted model, not a curated record
GUUAUCCAAAAGAUUCCAAUAGUAAUUAUGAUGAUUAUUGUAAAAAAAUGAAAGAUAUGAAUAACAAACCGGUGUCAAGUACUACAUUUGACCAAUUAGUCAGAGUUUCAAAAUUGAUGAGGAAAAAUCCCUUCACAUUUGAUGUCACGUCUGUUACCACAAAUGUGUAAUGACUUAUCACUAAUGGUGCAUGUUCAAAAGGAUCAAACCCGUAUAAUUAAAAUAAAAUAAAAUAUGAAUCCAGACAUUCAAUCAUUUUUCGCACGUAUUGCCCUAUUACAAUUUACAAUAUACCUAUUGUUAUGGCUAUGAACAUGGCUACCUAAUCGCAGUGUUCGGACUUAUCUAGGUGAAUAUCUAGAUAAUUAUUUGUUCAUCUUUUAUCUUAUCUAGAUAAAUAGUUA